UUUUUUUUUUUUUUUAAAGGUUAUUAAAAAAAUCCUUUAAAUGCUGCAAUUCUGGAAUUAUUUCUCUUGCACUAAAAGUUCCCAGGGUGGCUUUUCCUUAUGGCAUUCGAGAAUCAUCCCACUUCAUCUCUCACCUGAAUCUUGUCAUCUGUGCCAUCUUGAAGUGAUCUGUGAACAAUGCUGGUCCCUUGGACAGCCCAAGCUGGUCAAUCAGGCAGAACAGACUAUGCAAAUGGAAUGGAAAGGCGAAGCGAUGAAGAACAGUGGCCCCCAUUGUCUUGGGCAUUUCAAAGCGAAGCCCAGCUGCAGCAGGCGUUGCUGUCUCCGGACCCUUGGUUGCUACUCUAAUGUCAUCAUUGCAAAACAUCACAUUUUGAAAACUCUACAGUCUGAAUGCAUGAGCAGCCCUCCACAAAGAUUUCACUUUGCCGUGACAUCUCUCGAAGUCACCCAAAAAAAGGAAAAAAAGGAAAAAAAACCGCCAGCCAACAACCAGUGGGGACUGUGAUCCCAGCCACAUUGCCAGCUCACAUCCCUCGGUCCCUUUCCCUGCGCUCCCAAUAACUGUGGUGCAGCUGAUGCUAAAUGCCUUUUGCAACCUUUUGGUGCCUCCUGUUCAGGAAGUUGUUCACUGCUGCAAACCUCCCAAGGAAGCCUGUGUACAGUUUUUGAUUGACUCAUGGCUACUAUAACUAUUAUUUAUUAACCAGCUCUUUGGGUGGCAAACCAGUUAUCCUCUUUGGGAACUCACAUGCUGAGGUUCUGGAGCUCAUGGACAUGGAGCUACAUGUGUGGACCAUGUGAAUUACUGAUUACAUGGCAGGAACAAAUUCUCCUCUAGCCUUGUUGGCUGUUCAACUUCUUGUCUGCUGUAAGGAUGAAGAACUGUCAGGUUCCAACUCCAAAAAUCCUUCCUGCUUUCUCCUGUGUUCUGCAACCCACGCUGGCCUAGUUUUGAAGCAUGCUGGAUAAUGAAUGUGAGCAGAUAAUUUCCUUCCUGUAAGAUCAUGGGCCCUUUCUAAUAUUAAUUUCUAGAGGACACUCAGGUCUUUAGCAAUGUAAUAAACCCGGGUGGGCACUAAAAAAAAAGUGAGUGUUGACAGGGCCUCUGAUUAUAACAAAUAAGUGAAAAUGGCUGUUCAUUAAAAUUUUGCUGAGAGACUAUUUUUGCCCUUGGGCAACAUUUUGUUACUCUGCUUUCAUGCCUCAGGGUGUUUCCUACUGAGCUGGCUAUACAAUUCUAUAGAUAGAACAAUACAUAUGCAGGCAUGCAUUAUCUAUAUCUCUCUUGUUUGCUAAACCUGAAGUAAUUUAUGUAAUUAUACACAUAAUGUAUUUUAUCCAAAUACACAAAAAAGAUUUUUUUUUUAAAUGCCACUUAGGAUCCAGAUUUAACUUAAACCACUACUUACUCUAUCUUCCUUAAUAGGAUACUAAAAAGGAAUUUUAUGACAACAUUAUCAGUAGCAUUUUGCUGAUAAUUAGAAUAACAAUAAUAAUACUGAGAUAUUUUUUCAGUAAUAAUGGUGUUAUUAAUGAGAUUUUUAUGAAAGACAGACUUCUUUAGUAUAAUUAUGAAAAUUGAUCUUUUGCAUUUUACUUAUUCACUGAAAUCAGAUAAGUGGCUUAACUACAUGUAUUAUUUCUAAUAAAUAUUCAAAAGAAUGCAUUUAAACAAGGCACCUCAUUCUAUUCUUGCUCAUAUUGCUUGCAUUUAAAUAAAACUGUAAUUGCUCUGCUUUUUUAAACUGCUAGUUUGGAUUAGCUGUCUAACCUGUACAGUGUAGCUGUUUGCUGUUUGCAUUUUUAAUAGCUUUAUUACCAUUUGGUGAAGCCUUAAUUUCUCACUCCCUUGAAGAGUCCUGCCUUUAAGUCAGCUCUACAAUUUAACCAGCAAUAAUCUGUCAAGAUAAGAUAAAGACCUACACCAGAUGAAAUGCAGUAUUUUUGUGUAGCAUUCUGUCAUUGUUAAAGGGAAGAUCUGAGUAUGUCAAAAUGUAACACCUGAAAGUUUAAUAAACUUUGUAGCAUAAUUUUACAGUUCACAUUUUAAAAUAAAUUGUUCUAGA
Molecule: long non-coding RNA, 2069 nt
Filed under: Strigops habroptila (Kakapo)
Lineage: Eukaryota; Metazoa; Chordata; Aves; Psittaciformes; Psittacidae
Description: lncRNA (ENSSHBG00005007815.1)
Source: RNAcentral